Molecule: non-coding RNA, 6887 nt
Organism: Cricetulus griseus (Chinese hamster)
Lineage: Eukaryota; Metazoa; Chordata; Mammalia; Rodentia; Cricetidae
Source: RefSeq, a predicted model, not a curated record
AUUGUAACUAAUACAAGUCUCUCUGUGUAUUCAUUUGGGCCUAACUCAGGCAGGCGGCUGUUGUAAAGCUCACACAUGGCAGUGGGGCUCAGGCGGCUUUUGGCAGAAAGAUUUAUCAUAACACAUGAGGGCAUGGGUCAUAUCAUGGAUUAGAGCCAAUCCUUCAAACUUGAUGGCCUCUGUAAUGACCUCAUCUUCAAGGAAAGUCAUACUCUGAGGUACCAAGGAUUUCAACAUAUCUUUUAGGGACCAGACAAAAUUUAGCCCACAACAAAGGUGACAGACAUUUUCAGAAGCUAAAAUUAAUGGACAUGCUGAGAAUUAAUGCUAUUUGUGCCUCUUGCCUGGGAACUGGCUCCUCUUCAACUAUUACGUAUUUCAUUCUUAUGCUGUUUAGCAAUUCUAAGUUUUCGGAUUUUCUUCCUUUAUGUGUGUUGAGGGUGCAGCUAUAUAUGAAUAUGUGAAUGCAUUCGGGCAUACAAGUCCUUGAUUGCACAUGCAUGUAUGUGUGCCUGUCUGUGGGGGCUAGGGGUUAUUCUGGGAAUCUUCCUUGAUCACUCUUCCUCCUAUUCAUUGAGGCAGGCGCUCUCAAUCAAAGUCAGAACUCACACAUGUGGUUCAUCAUGCUAGCCAGCUUGACCUAGAGCUCCUCUGUCUUCACCUUCUGAGGCUGGAAGUACAGGUGAGCUGCCACACCCACCUAGUGUUUGGGUAGGUUCUGGAUGUUUGAGCUCUGAUCUUCACAAUUCUGCAGCAAAUCUGUGAACCGCUGAACCUUCUCCCUAGCUGGAAGCCAAAAAUUACCAGCUUGAAAUAAAUCUUGCAACCUCAUGCAGUCAACUCUGCUUUUACUUCCUUCUUCUAUUCUGGCACCAAGGAAGAAAGGAGGAAAGGAAUGAGGGAGAAAGGGAGGGAGAGAGGGAGGGAGGGAGGGAGGGAGGGAGGGAGGCAAAAUAGUACACAUUGUGUGUGUGUGUGUGUGUGUGUGUGUGUGUGUUUAUGUGUGUGUGGGUGUGUGUGUGUGUGUGGUGUGUGUGAUAAACUUAGGAACAAUUACCACAUAAAUUCAUUUGGGAUGUUUUCUAUUGAAUUAUAUCUUUCUUGAGAAUAUUUCCUUUAAAAUUAUUACAUUUUUAUGUGUGUGUGAGUGUGUGUACCAUACAAAUGUGUGGAAUUUGGACAACUUGAGAGAGUUGGUUCUUCCUCCCACCUGUGGAUCUCAGGGAAAAAGGCACCUUGCUGAGACACCUUGCCAGCCCCUUAGGAUAUUUCUUAAAGGGGGCGUUUACCCAUGCACUCACCCACCGACUCUAUGUAAGUAUGAUCGCUGCCACACACACAAGCUCAAAAGUGAACUAAAAAUUACUGCACCCACACAAUUCUCUCCUUUGAGCAGCCUGGCUUUUGUGUUCUAUCACAAUAGUUGGGGAGAAGUUGGGAGAUAAAAUAAAUGGCCACCCAGUCAUGUUAUUCAUUCUUAUAAUUUCUGAAGAGCAGAAAGAUGGGUUUCCCUUUCAAAAGGUAUAACUGGGGACUGAGCCAAAAUUGAAAUAGUGUCAGUUUUUUCUUUGAUCUCAAGGCGACCCAUGCUCCUCCAGUGAGUCAUUGGGAAGACUUGAAGCAUCCAUGAACAUGAGGAGUCCUUAGAAAUCCAGCUCACACAGUUGGUGCUUUCAGAAAAUUUCAAAUUUAAUUGGCAUUUACUUGGGGAAGGGAGUGUUGGCCUCCAGUGGUGUGUGCGUCAUGAGAACAUGGAAACACUGCUGUGCCUUUACUCUGGGAGUGAUGGAGAAGAGCGUACUAGGAUGUACUGGCAUCAACAUAUUGUUACAACAUGAGUAACAAGGCAGCCUGAUGACAGAAGGGGCUCACACAUCUAUAACAGUCACACCUCCUCCACCCUCGGAGGUGUGGGUACACAUGGCAGAUGUGGAACAAAGGCAGAAGAUGCUGUGCUGCAACAAGCCAUGUACUACAAGUUCCUAAGAAUGGGUCCUGUGUUCCAGUCUCAGCAGGUCUGACAGUAUCUUCCAUCACCAAGGAUGACGAGGCUUCAUGCAUUCUGGAGUAACACACUGUCCCUUAGAAGGAAAUCUACCUGUUACAUCAUCUUGAAGUCUCAGAGAGUCAAGGCCAAAGAUAAGAACUCGGGGAUGGUUUCUGGUUUUAUUUUACUUUUUAAAGAUUUAUUUAUAUUGUUAUUUGUAUAUGGGUGGGGCUGUAUGUGCCUGUGGGUGCCUAGUACUUCCAAAAGAGGUUCCCUGGUCCCUUAAAGCUGGAGUUAGUGAGCUGUGGAACUGACUCAUGUGGGUGCUGUGAACUGAACUCUGGUACUCUACAAGUGCAGUAAGUGAUACUCACGGCUGACCGCCCUGAGCCCAGGCUUUUAAAGCUUUGUCUUCACUGCCGGCUUCACUGGGCUUUCCAUCUACAGCAUUUUACUGUCAAGCAAAACUCACUUAUUUCAAACUUCCUGUAUUCUUUGGUGUCAGGACCACGGCCAUGUUAUAAAAAACACUUUUUUUCUUGACUUUUUCUCAUCAAAGGUUCCCCCUGAAGGGUGAAGUUCCCCCCGGGUUCAUAGAACCCGAUUUUCCUGUUCUACCAGCAGGCUCAGGGGAGAGUGCCUCCCCAUUUUCUAAGCAACAAUACAUAGAUAAAAAUGUCAAAGCCUGGCAGCCCGUCUCUAGCAUAUGUGCUUCUAUUUAUGAAGACACUUAGCGUGGAUUUAGUAAGUUCACCACAAAGCUCCAGGGGCACCUGUCUCUUUAAAUCCAUCUCCUCCCAAGUGAAAUUUGUGGUCCUGAUGAAUGGCAGAGCAGAGUCAUCCAUAAAAGGGCAGAGGAGAAUCACACUCAUUUGCAUACAGUAAUUAUUCUGUGAGUCAGGCCACCUUUAUUGCUGGCAGAAAAUCUACUGUCAGCAAUGCUAUGUAGAUCAAUUUUGAAAACUCAACAUCAGACAGGAAUUGUUUGGAAUCCUGUCGUCCAGCAUUCCUGCCACCUGCCCUCUGGUGACCAUGUUUCUGGGCCUAGCCCACCAGCCUGUUUCUCUAUCUGCCCUGUCUUGUGAUGGUGGAUGAUAUUUCUGGAGAGUUCUCUCGUAGGCAGGCUGGCCAUGGUCGGUUUCUAAAAUGGCUGAACAUGGGAAAGCAUGGAGACUCCAUUUUUCUGGAGGCUACCACUCCCCCAACAAAUACCCGGCAAGUCUAGGUGGCUCUAUCUGGGGACCAGAGGUGGAAGAGAGUUUGGAGACGGCCUUUGUCCCUUUCUAUACAGAAUGGAAGAAGGAACUUUGCCGUGGUUUGAUGAGAAAUACACCCCGUGGUCUUGGGCACUUGAACACUUGGUCCUCAGCUGUUUGGGGGGGUUGGGAAGUGUGGACACAUGGGAGGAAGAUGUCUGGAGGCAGCUUUGAGAGUUAAAAGAUUCAUGCCAUUCCCAGUUCUCUUUUUGCUCUCAGCUUUCUGCUCCAGCUGCUGUGCCUGCUGCCUGCCUCCUGCCUCUCCUCCAGGACAGUGAGCCAUGUGAAGUCUUCCUUCUGGAGUUGGGGAAGAAAGGAAGAGAACUUGAGCCAAAAGUCUGAAAGAGAAGGGACUCCUUACUUAAAGGAUACAGAGGCCCCGAGUCCCCUGUGUACAUCCUCAGUGGAAUGAUAGGAGAGAAGCUUCAACUGGAGAACCGCUAUCCGCAAAAGCAAAGAGAGCAAAAUGGCACUGAAGACAACUGAAGGUACAGGAGACAGCUAUUGUAUGAGCGCUUCCUUUGCUGGUGGGAGAAAGAAUGCUGAAGACAUAGUGGCUGAAUGGAUGGAGACUGAGCAUGAGUCGUGUGAGGGCUUAGGAAACAAGGAGCAUGGAGGCUCUGAUGAAGGUACGGAGGGUUUCCAUUGUAGGGAGAACAGAUCAAUCAUCAUGGCUUGAGAUAUAACUUUUGGGAGUCAUAAGAUAAAGACGGCAUAGGAAAUCCUUAUACCAAUACAGAAGAAAAAGCAAAGAUGAUCCAAGAAGCCCAAGUCUCUGGUGUGAGAGGUCUACAAGAGAGUGAAGGCUCAGCACAGUGACCAAAGGACCUGAGAUCACUGAUACAGGGAUGACCCAAAGAGUGGGGUGUCUGGAAGCUUGAGGGAAGAAUGGGCAUCCCAAGUGGGUCAGCCCCACUGCUGAGAGGCCAUGUACUAUGAGGACUGGGAAGGAGCCAAAGCUUUCAUUAAGACAGUGAGCUCUCAGAAGCCACUGGAUGAACUGGAUAAAAAUCUUCAUGGUGUAGGCUGAAGGGCAAGCCGCAUCUAGGACUGGACACCGUGAUACUGCAACAUGAAGGUGUGAUGUGUGACAUAGGAUUGGGAGAGAAGACAGUGUCAAGACAAAGGCUCCACUUUUGAAGAAGUCUUGCCUACAAAGGAGAAAGCAUUGCAGAAGAGAAGAGGGCUGUGGAAAGUAGAAGAAGAAGAUCUGGUGCAGAGAGAUUCAGGAUCUACCAGAUGUUCCUGCCAGGAAUAGGAAGACCGUCUUCCUCCCAUCAUGUGUCCUUCCCAAGGAGGCCCCGCAGUUAGCUUUGCAUGGAUGGAGCUAGUACCUGCAUGCUUAGCCACUCGAAGUGGCUACACGCGGGCUCUGCUAUUCGUUAAAGAUCAAGCUGCCAAUACGAGUGUGCUCGGAUUAGCCCUUCCUGUAACUGCACCAGUGCCUGUGUUUGCAUUCCUCCCAACUGAAAAUUUGUCAGAGAAGAAAGGCAUUAAACCUGUCACUGCAGAUAAAGAUCAGACAUUUGAUUUCAAACAGAAGAGGCAAACGCCCUACCUCGGGCUCUAUUAACUCUGGGGUAUACUGUUCUAAGUCAUGUGGGGAACUAGACAAUGUUGGGACGGGGAAAUAAAUUCAAGUCUCACUGCCAUUUCUGUAGGUACAGAGGAUAUUGGCCUUUGAACAGAAAUCCAGAGCAGAGAUCAAGCCACAAGCCCUUCCUGGCUUCUUCUGAACAUGGGCUCACAAAAUGAGAGCAUCUAGACCAGUCACAACUAUUUACAGAAAAGUAAAAGCUUGAGAAGCCACACUGAGAAAACUUUUGGACAUUUAAAAACUUCUACUACCUCCUAAUACCUACAUAAUCUUUGGAAGUUAGCACUGUGUUACAUGCUUGUCUUGCAAACAUGAGAACCUGAGUUCAGUCCUCAGCAUUCAUGCUAAAAAAAUAAAAACAGGCACAAUGGAUGGCACACUUAAUAGCCACACCACUGAGGAACAGGAAGGUAAGGAUAGGAGGGUCCCUAUAGCUCACUAGCCUGGCAGCUUGGCUUAUUUUAAAGUUCCAGGUCAGUGAGAGAUCCUGUCAAAAAAUAAAUAAAUAAAUAAAUAAAUAAAUAAAUAAAUAAAUAAAUAAAAGCAAGAUCAAUGGGGCCUAAGGAACAACAUUUAAAGUUGUCCUCUGACAUCCACAUCUGUGCACAGACACAAACGCAUGCAUAAAGGAACAUGUGCUCACACAAAAAGAGAAAACAGCUCCUCGCCAAUAAAUAAAAUGUAGACCUUCAAAACCCUUCCUCCUGCUGUCAGAGCCCUCUCCCUAUCACAUAGGAAACCAGCGAGCUUACCUAAUCAUUGGAUAAUAUACAAGUUGUUGAUCUUAACCUGAAACUUGAGUUUAUGUGGCAGCUUUUUCCAAGGGGUUUGAUCACUGAGAAGAUUAAUAUUCAUAACGUUUCAGUGACUCUUGAGAUGGCAGGUACUAUUAUCCCCAUUUUAUGGAUUCAGACACUGGGUCAGGGAAAGGUUAAGUGGCACACUGGAUAUCACAAGGGUUUCAUUUCAAGCUCUCAAAUUUAGUCCACCUUCCAUGAUGUUAUUUCUGAAGGGAAGUGCGAGGUGGUCGAGCAGAAGCUGGGAAUCCAGGCUGCAGCCUCAGCUCCAGGACUGACUCAUCACACAGCCUUCAGCAAGUCAUUUAACCUCUCAUAGCUCUGCCUCCACAUUAGGUAAAAUUGACAAUUCUUACCCACCAUCCACACCCUGCUGUGAGGAUUAAUGAAAUGAGACCUGUGCUCUAAGCCUCUUGGUAAGAAAGGCUCUCUAUAAAUACGAAAUCUGCUAAGUGUCUUCACAGAGGUUGCACAGCCCUCAGGAGAUAGGGAGCAAUGUUGUGCAUUUCAAUAGCUGUCCCUAAGUGUCCCCGGGGCGUGUCCCUAGGGCCAGAGAGGCAGGCAUAGACUCUCUACCAGGAGAAGUCCAGGUUGCAAAAAGUCCUGUGGCUGUGGGAAUGGUGUGGUCCCUUUGCUUGCGUGGGCUGGAAAGGGCCUGUCCAUGGGACCCACCAGGCAGUGGUGCUGCAUGCCAAAGCUGGCCUGGAGGGUUGCUUUUGGAAAUACCACUGAGAUAUUAUGGUUCUGGAAGACCCCGUUGGUAUUCUAAAAAUGAGGUUGGAACUGCUUUUGCACAUCAAAGAAUGCUUAGGUGACUCUUGCCACUAGGCAACCUCCGAGAGUUCAUCAGAGUGGCCCAAGUUCUCAGAGCCUGUGUAAGUACUAACCCGUGGGAGCAGGAGGGGCUGGUGGACAGAAUUCACAUUUGGGGUAGAAAAGAGGGACUGGAAUUUAACACACCACACCACAGGCCCUUUAACCUUGGACUUGAAAAAUGAUGGAGGCAACAUCUCUCCUCUGUCCCUGUCAUUCCACAGCAUUCUCUGCAGAUGUUGUAUGGUAACUUUAGUCCAUACCUCUAUCCCAGAACCUGUCUCUUAGGCACCAAGCUCCCAUGGACAACUUCCAGGCAGCAUCUCCUGAGUAUUAGAUAAAUGUCUCUGAUGCAGCUAGCCCAGCACUUCCCUGAGUAUUAGGCAAAUGUCUCUGAUGCAGCUAGCCCAGCACUUCCCUGAGUAUUAGGCAAAUGU